GGGCCGUUAGCUCACUUGGUAGAGCGUCGCCAUGGCAUGGCGAAGGCAACCGGUUCGAUCCCGGUACGGUCCACCA
RNAcentral lists this transfer RNA (76 nucleotides) under bacterium. RNAcentral describes it as "tRNA-Ala". It matches the Rfam family "tRNA". From Rfam's summary of the family: Transfer RNA (tRNA) molecules are approximately 80 nucleotides in length. Their secondary structure includes four short double-helical elements and three loops (D, anti-codon, and T loops). The record is from RNAcentral.